CCCUGGCUCAGGACGAACGCUGGCGGCAUGCCUAAUACAUGCAAGUCGAGCGGAGUAAGAAUGGAAGCUUGCUUCCAUUCUUACUUAGCGGCGGACGGGUGAGUAACACGUAGGCAACCUGCCCUCAAGACUGGGAUAACUACCGGAAACGGUAGCUAAUACCGGAUAAUUUCUUUCCUCUCCUGAAGAGAGAAUGAAAGGCGGAGCAAUCUGCCACUUGGGGAUGGGCCUGCGGCGCAUUAGCUAGUUGGUGGGGUAACGGCUCACCAAGGCGACGAUGCGUAGCCGACCUGAGAGGGUGAACGGCCACACUGGGACUGAGACACGGCCCAGACUCCUACGGGAGGCAGCAGUAGGGAAUCUUCCGCAAUGGGCGAAAGCCUGACGGAGCAAUGCCGCGUGAGUGAUGAAGGUUUUCGGAUCGUAAAGCUCUGUUGCCAGGGAAGAACGUCCGGUAGAGUAACUGCUACCGGAGUGACGGUACCUGAGAAGAAAGCCCCGGCUAACU
This 508-nucleotide ribosomal RNA is filed under the name Paenibacillaceae bacterium CL5.113. RNAcentral describes it as "bacterial SSU rRNA". It matches the Rfam family "Bacterial small subunit ribosomal RNA", at positions 17 to 502 of the family's 1533-position model. Lineage: Bacteria; Bacillati; Bacillota; Bacilli; Caryophanales; Paenibacillaceae. The record is from RNAcentral.